Molecule: long non-coding RNA, 1577 nt
Organism: Pipistrellus kuhlii (Kuhl's pipistrelle)
Lineage: Eukaryota; Metazoa; Chordata; Mammalia; Chiroptera; Vespertilionidae
Exons: 2
Source: RefSeq, a predicted model, not a curated record
UUUAGAGGGUAAGUAGUUGAAACAGAGGAAGUAACAUUAAAUUUUUAUUUAUUUAGAUAGGAAAAGAGGUUGAAUUUAGAAUUUUUGGUUCUUUAUGUGGCCUAUGUUCACGUCUUACAGAUCGCGUGUUAUCACUCAGGAUUCGGGGAGUAGUAAGCCCUUAACGUGCUGGAUAGAUCUUGAGGAGGACUUCUUGUGGGCAGGUAGGUAUUCAGCUGUUUUAUGAUUGAAGAACAACUGUAGACGGAAGCACCAUUAAAUUGCUUAACUGAAAGAGAGCAACUUCGGACGACUUUCUGCACCUUUGUAGUUAAGGGUUAAUCUUCUCGAGAGAAAGUUGUGAUGGAGUACUUGCGCUCUGCGGUUCCCCAGAAAUCUAGGCAUCAAGCCCUAGGAUCAUCGCAGCCACGUGGCAGGCCUCUGGAAAUGCUGGGAGAUACCAUCCUCUUUGAGCAGUGUUGGCUCGUGUUUAUGUUUUUCCAAACCUAAAGAUACAAAGAGAGAUUUCUAAUACCUUGUUGCAGUCUUCUUCCCAUACAUAAUUUAAAUCUCAUUAUUAUAUAAUGCUUCAAAUUAUGCCCUUGACUGAAGGAAGUUUGCUGUUUUCUCAGAAAGACUUUCUGUUACUGAAUAUCAGAAUCUACUAAAACAAAACUGAAAGAAAAGGCAGCCUUGGAAUUUCUUAGACAAAUGCUUUUUGGAGCUUAGAAAGGCUAUUUAGAUUUCUUUAAGUAAAUUUUGAUUUUUUUAAAAUUGAAAUAUUGGCUUCUAUUAGCCUGACUUAAUUAUAAAGUAAACCAGUUUUCCAUCUGGAAGCAGAUGAAUAAAGUUCAUUGUUGCUAUAGAUGUGAGCUCAUGGGUUAAAUGUGGACAUUCUCAAAGGUAUGAGGCUUGUUUCAGGAAGAAUGUUAAUGCUACCUUUGCAAUCAGUCAUGCAGAGCCCAAUUUGGGGUUGCAGAAUAUGACUUCAGUGGAAGCCAAGGCUUUUCAUAAUGCACUAUGGUCAGGUAUAAUACGAAUUCUCCGUGUGCUGGUUGAAGAAACAAAAUAUAUUUAAAGAAUAAACUAGGAAUUAAUUAGAAAUGUGUUUUUUUCAUAAUCAUACUAGCAAAUAAAAUGUUAUUUUAAGUAUUUCCAGUUAUAAUCCUGCUUCAUUUUUCUCUGCUUUUGAGAUAUUCAUUAUUACUAAAUACUAUUUUAGGAAAAAUUCACAGAAAUAACAGAUGAAUAUUAUCUGUGAUAUCUGCAGAUUUAACUUAUAUAGCUAACAUUGUGUGCUGGUUUUUUAAUGAUGACUUGACAUAUAUGAGCGUCUCAGUUUACAGAAUUUGAAGUUCUACUUUAAUAUUUGUUAAGUAUCCAAACUUCCAUUUAGAUAACUGAGGUACCUUUUUAGAAUUACAAUAGUCAGGCCCGCAUUUCAUUUUUUUAAUGGCAUUGGCCUCAUACAUUUGUACAAAAAUUAAUAAUACAGUGUUUCAUAGUUUGUGUACUGAGAUAUUUACUAUAUUAACAUUUUAUAGUAUAUUCUUAAUCUCCUUUGGCUAGUGAAUUAAAGCUGAAUUUGUCUAAUAUCA